UACGUAGGGGGCUAGCGUUGUCCGGAAUCAUUGGGCGUAAAGAGCUCGUAGGCGGCACGGUUAGUCAGGUGUGAAAUCUCCACGCUCAACGUGGAGGGGUCACCUGAUACUGCCGAGCUUGAGUCCGGUAGGGGAGUGUGGAAUUCCCGGUGUAGAGGUGAAAUUCGUAGAUAUCGGGAGGAACACCGGUGGCGAAGGCGGCGACCUGGGUAGAUACUGACGCUGAGGUGCGAAAGCGUGGGGAGCAAACAGG
RNAcentral lists this ribosomal RNA (253 nucleotides) under uncultured bacterium. RNAcentral describes it as "partial 16S ribosomal RNA". It matches the Rfam family "Bacterial small subunit ribosomal RNA", at positions 524 to 776 of the family's 1533-position model. The record is from RNAcentral.